Molecule: ribosomal RNA, 427 nt
Filed under: uncultured prokaryote
Description: bacterial SSU rRNA
Rfam family: Bacterial small subunit ribosomal RNA
Source: RNAcentral
UGGGGAAUUUUCCGCAAUGGGCGCAAGCCUGACGGAGCAACGCCGCGUGAGGGAGGACGGCCUGUGGGUUGUAAACCUCUUUUCUCAAGGAAGAAGAUUCUGACGGUACUUGAGGAAUCAGCAUCGGCUAACUCCGUGCCAGCAGCCGCGGUAAGACGGAGGAUGCAAGCGUUAUCCGGAAUUAUUGGGCGUAAAGCGUCCGUAGGUGGUUUUGCAAGUCAGUUGUUAAAGCUCGCAGCUCAACUGCGAAUCGGCAAAUGAAACUGUAAGACUAGAGUGUGGAAGGGGUAGAGGGAAUUCCUAGUGUAGCGGUGAAAUGCGUAGAUAUUAGGAAGAACACCAGUGGCGAAGGCGCUCUACUGGGCCACAACUGACACUGAUGGACGAAAGCUAGGGGAGCGAAAGGGAUUAGAUACCCCCGUAGUCC